Molecule: ribosomal RNA, 494 nt
Filed under: uncultured bacterium
Lineage: Bacteria
Description: bacterial SSU rRNA
Rfam family: Bacterial small subunit ribosomal RNA
Source: RNAcentral
GAUGAACGCUAGCGGCAGGCCUAAUACAUGCAAGUCGAACGCUCAGUAGCAAUACUGGGAGUGGCGCACGGGUGCGUAACGCGUACACAAUCUACCUCUAAGCGGGGGACACCUCCUGGAAACGGGGAUUAAUACCGCAUAAUAUGCCGAGGUCGCAUGACUUUGGUAUUAAAGCAGCAAUGCACUUAGAGAUGAGUGUGCGUCCCAUUAGGUAGUUGGUGAGGUAACGGCUCACCAAGCCUAUGAUGGGUAGCCGGUCUGAGAGGAUGGUCGGCCACACGGGCACUGAGACACGGGCCCGACUCCUACGGGAGGCAGCAGUAAGGAAUAUUGGUCAAUGGUGGAAACACUGAACCAGCCAUGCCGCGUGGAGGAAUAAGGUCCUACGGAUUGUAAACUCCUUUUGUACGAGGAAGAAAGUGUUAGAUUUAUCUAAUUUUGACGGUACUCGUAGAAUAAGCACCGGCUAACUCCGUGCCAGCAGCCGCGGUAAU